This 497-nucleotide ribosomal RNA is filed under the name uncultured bacterium. RNAcentral describes it as "partial 16S ribosomal RNA". It matches the Rfam family "Bacterial small subunit ribosomal RNA", at positions 28 to 507 of the family's 1533-position model. The record is from RNAcentral.
GACGAACGCUGGCGGCGUGCCUAAUACAUGCAAGUUGAGCGCUGAAGGUUGGUACUUGUACCAACUGGAUGAGCAGCGAACGGGUGAGUAACGCGUGGGGAAUCUGCCUUUGAGCGGGGGACAACAUUUGGAAACGAAUGCUAAUACCGCAUAAAAACUUUAAACACAAGUUUUAAGUUUGAAAGAUGCAAUUGCAUCACUCAAAGAUGAUCCCGCGUUGUAUUAGCUAGUUGGUGAGGUAAAGGCUCACCAAGGCGAUGAUACAUAGCCGACCUGAGAGGGUGAUCGGCCACAUUGGGACUGAGACACGGCCCAAACUCCUACGGGAGGCAGCAGUAGGGAAUCUUCGGCAAUGGACGAAAGUCUGACCGAGCAACGCCGCUUGAGUGAAGAAGGGUUUCGGAUCGUAAAACUCUGUUGGUAGAGAAGAACGUUGGUGAGAGUGGAAAGCUCAUCAAGUGACGGUAACUACCCAGAAAGGGACGGCUAACUACGUG